UAGGGAAUCUUCCACAAUGGACGCAAGUCUGAUGGAGCAACGCCGCGUGAGUGAAGAAGGUUUUCGGACCGUAAAGCUCUGUUGUUGGUGAAGAAGGAUAGAGGUAGUAACUGGCCUUUAUUUGACGGUAAUCAACCAGAAAGUCACGGCUAACUACGUGCCAGCAGCCGCGGUAAUACGUAGGUGGCAAGCGUUGUCCGGAUUUAUUGGGCGUAAAGCGAGCGCAGGCGGAAGAAUAAGUCUGAUGUGAAAGCCCUCGGCUUAACCGAGGAAUUGCAUCGGAAACUGUUUUUCUUGAGUGCAGAAGAGGAGAGUAGAACUCCAUGUGUAGCGGUGGAAUGCGUAGAUAUAUGGAAGAAUACCAGUGGCGAAGGCGGCUCUCUGGUCUGCAACUGACGCUGAGGCUCGAAAGCAUGGGUAGCGAACAGGAUUAGAUACCCUGGU
Molecule: ribosomal RNA, 444 nt
Filed under: uncultured bacterium
Lineage: Bacteria
Description: partial 16S ribosomal RNA
Rfam family: Bacterial small subunit ribosomal RNA
Source: RNAcentral